CCCGUAAAUGCCGGCGGAUCCGCGCCCGCUCCGCUUUGUGCGGUGGAUGCUCAUCCUGCUCAUCCUGGGCUGCGGCGGGACCGUCGUUCAGAGCGCUGUGCGGAGCCCGGCACCGGGGGGCUGCUCCCGGCGCUGCGCCGAGCCCGAGGCGCUGAGAGCACAGGACAUUCUGAGUGGGAAUGGAUACACAAGGACCGCCAAGUCGAACCCUUAUGUGAAUGGCUCCUCUGGCGAUUGAACCCACACCUGGCCAUUCUCAGCACCCUGCUCCAACCAAGCCACUCUCAGCUCCUGGCAAUGUCCUGCCUGGGAUAGGAAUGCCAAGUGCCAGCAAGGUUCAUUCCUAUGCAAAUACAGCUCCUUCUUUUAUGCUAAUGCUGCUUUCCACACCAGCCCCUGCAAUGGCCACAGGGCAGACCUCCAUGGCCAGCACCUGAUCAUGCAACAACACAGGUGCCCUGGGGAUGCCAGGGAGGUGCCUUUGCCCACAGUGCCUUUCUCCUGCCCCUCUCCAGCCUGAGGCCUCUUCUCCCUUCCCUGCCAGCUGCUGCCAAGGAAGGAGGACACAUUCCCCACUGAGAAGAACACAACCUCACAGCUGUUAAGGCCUGACAGUUCCCUGCAGGGAGAGCUCAGCACAUGUGCCCAGAGGCAAUCCCAGCAUCUGCAA
This is a long non-coding RNA of Corvus hawaiiensis (hawaiian crow), 670 nucleotides long. RefSeq lists it as uncharacterized. Lineage: Eukaryota; Metazoa; Chordata; Aves; Passeriformes; Corvidae. The record is from RefSeq and is a predicted model, not a curated record. The transcript is spliced from 4 exons.